GACGAACGCUGGCGGCGUGCUUAACACAUGCAAGUCGAACGAAGUGGCGAACGGGUGAGUAACGCGUAAUCAACCUGCCCUUCAGAGGGGGACAACAGUUGGAAACGACUGCUAAUACCGCAUACUGAAGGAGGGGAUUGCGUCUGAUUAGCUAGUUGGAGGGGUAACGGCCCACCAAGGCGAGGAUCAGUAGGCGGGCUGGGAGGAUGAACGGCCACAAUGGGACUGGGAAACCGCCCAGACUCCUACGGGAGGCAGCAAUGGGGAAAUGUCCGAAAUGGACGAAAGUCUGACGGAGCAACGCCGCGUGGGUGAUGACGGUCUUCGGGUUGUAAAGCUCUGUUAAUCGGGACGCGGUACCGGAAGAGAAAGCCACGGCUAACUACGUGCCAGCAGCCGCGGUAAUUC
Molecule: ribosomal RNA, 408 nt
Filed under: uncultured bacterium
Lineage: Bacteria
Description: partial 16S ribosomal RNA
Rfam family: Bacterial small subunit ribosomal RNA
Source: RNAcentral